Molecule: unclassified non-coding RNA, 227 nt
Filed under: plant metagenome
Description: partial contains small subunit ribosomal RNA, internal transcribed spacer 1, and 5.8S ribosomal RNA
Source: RNAcentral
UUUCCGUAGGUGAACCUGCGGAAGGAUCAUUAAAGAAUUUGCCCCGUCCUCUCGAGGAUGGGUCCUCUUCUAAACCGUGUAUACAUACCUUUGUUGCUUUGGCGGGCCACCGUCUCGGCGUUGGCUUCGGCUGACUGUGCCCGCCAGAGAACCCCAACUCUUCUGUUUAGUAUUGUCUGAGUACUAUAUAAUAGUUAAAACUUUCAACAACGGAUCUCUUGGUUCUG